GGCAUUCCUUCAAUCACUCACCCCAUUCUAGGAGGAGUUAGAACAAUUAAUCAUUGACUUUCGCAAUACAUUACGCCUCUCGCGUCUUGCCUUCCAAAGGUUUACCAAACUUAGGUUUUCUAGGUCCCAACGGCCUAAUGCUAAGCUCUGAUACCAACUUAAUCAUAUCACGCCCCGGAUUACUCGUUCCUCAGGCGCGCCGACAAAUCCGCCGUAUACAAAGAAAUUUUCCCUGUAUACGAAGCGAUAGCUGUACCUGUAAAUCAUACAAUACUACAAACAGUAGUAUAGAGCUGCUAGAAGAACCAAUAAUAAAACAAACCGAGUUUCAUAUACAUACGCCAAAUCCAAGAUACAAUACUACUCGCACUG
Molecule: long non-coding RNA, 372 nt
Filed under: Ananas comosus (pineapple)
Lineage: Eukaryota; Viridiplantae; Streptophyta; Magnoliopsida; Poales; Bromeliaceae
Description: long non-coding RNA (ACOM_LNC044906)
Source: RNAcentral